GAACGCACCGCAAGGUGAGUGGCAGACGGGUGAGUAACGCGUGGGAACCUUCCCUGUGGUACGGAAUAACUUCGGGAAACCGAAGCUAAUACCGUAUAUCUCCUCCGGGAGAAAGAUUUAUCGCCAUAGGAUGGGCCCGCGUUGGAUUAGCUAGUUGGUAGGGUAAUGGCCUACCAAGGCAACGAUCCAUAGCUGGUCUGAGAGGAUGAUCAGCCACACUGGGACUGAGACACGGUCCAGACUCCUACGGGAGGCAGCAGUGGGGAAUUUUUGGCAAUGGGGGAAACCCUGACCAAGCAACGCCGCGUGGGUGAUGAAGUCUCUUGGGACGUAAAACCCUUUCGACGGGGAAGAAACCGCAAGGUUGACGGUACCCGUAGAAGAAGCCCCGGCUAACUCCGUG
This 403-nucleotide ribosomal RNA is filed under the name uncultured bacterium. RNAcentral's name for it is "bacterial SSU rRNA". It matches the Rfam family "Bacterial small subunit ribosomal RNA", at positions 64 to 507 of the family's 1533-position model. The record is from RNAcentral.